Molecule: long non-coding RNA, 1100 nt
Filed under: Gouania willdenowi (blunt-snouted clingfish)
Lineage: Eukaryota; Metazoa; Chordata; Actinopteri; Blenniiformes; Gobiesocidae
Description: lncRNA (ENSGWIG00000008278.1)
Source: RNAcentral
AUACAACAACAACAAACCCUGGUUCACACCUCAACUUAGGAUGCUACGUCAGGCUAAGGAGGAAGCCUACAGGAGUGGGGAUAGGGACCUGUUCAGGCAAGCCAAGUACACACUAUCCAGGGAGAUCAAAGUAGCCAAGAGGUGCUACACUGAGAAGCUAAAACAAAGCUUCUCAAACAAAGAUCCCUCUGCAGUGUGGAAAAGCCUGCAUGAAGUUACCAACUAUAGGAAACCCUCCCCCCACCCUACUGGUAACAAAAGACUAGCUAGAGACCUGAACAGCUUCUACUGCAGGUUUUCACACCCACCCCCCAGCUCAUUAGCAUCAGCCCAUCACCUGGACUCUGCCCUUCCUGCUCCCCCUACUUCCCCCCCUACCUCUCCCUCUGUCCCCCCACCUGCCCUGAAGAUCAAUGAAAGAGAUGUGUGCCAGCUUUUCAAAAAACAAAAGAUCAAAAAGGCUCCAGGACCAGACGGAGUAUCUCCCUCCUGCCUGAAAGCCUGUGCUGAGCAGCUGGCCCCCAUCUUCACACGGAUCUUCAACACAUCACUGGAGCUGUGUGAAGUACCUUCCUGCUUCAAAAGUUCCAGCAUCAUCCCAGUCCCCAAGAAACCUGCCAUCACAGGACUUAAUGACUAUCGACCCAUUGCUCUGACGUCUGUAGUCAUGAAGUCCUUUGAGAGGCUGGUUCUGAGCCACCUGAAAAAGAUCACAGGACCCCUGCUGGACCCCCUGCAGUUUGCCUAUCGGGCAAACAGGUCUGUCGAGGAUGCAGUCAACAUUGGUCUGAACUACAUCCUGCACCACCUCGACUCCCCAGGGACCUACGCUAGGAUCCUGUUUGUGGAUUUCAGCUCUGCGUUCAACACCAUCAUCCCGGACAUCCUUCACCAGAAACUCACCCAGCUCACAGUGCCGGCCUCCACCUGUCAGUGGAUCACCAACUUCCUGACUGACAGGAAGCAGCAAGUAAGGCUGGGAAGCAUCACAUCUGGCACCCGGUCACUCAGCACUGGCGCCCCCCAGGGGUGUGUUCUCUCCCCACUGCUAUUCUCCCUCUACACCAAUGACUGCACCUCAGGGGACCCCUCUGUGAAAC